This 56-nucleotide transfer RNA is filed under the name Ovis aries (sheep). It matches the Rfam family "tRNA", at positions 8 to 63 of the family's 71-position model. Rfam says of the family: Transfer RNA (tRNA) molecules are approximately 80 nucleotides in length. Their secondary structure includes four short double-helical elements and three loops (D, anti-codon, and T loops). Further hydrogen bonds mediate the characteristic L-shaped molecular structure. tRNAs have two regions of fundamental functional importance: the anti-codon, which is responsible for specific mRNA codon recognition, and the 3' end, to which the tRNAs corresponding amino acid is attached (by aminoacyl-tRNA synthetases). tRNAs cope with the degeneracy of the genetic code in two manners: having more than one tRNA (with a specific anti-codon) for a particular amino acid; and 'wobble' base-pairing, i.e. permitting non-standard base-pairing at the 3rd anti-codon position. Lineage: Eukaryota; Metazoa; Chordata; Mammalia; Artiodactyla; Bovidae. The record is from Rfam by way of RNAcentral.
UGGCUCAAACGGUAAAGUGUCUGCCUACAAUGCAGGAGACCAGGGUUCGAUCCCUG